Molecule: non-coding RNA, 156 nt
Organism: Cajanus cajan (pigeon pea)
Lineage: Eukaryota; Viridiplantae; Streptophyta; Magnoliopsida; Fabales; Fabaceae
Source: RefSeq, a predicted model, not a curated record
GGUGGACUCGCACCUCUUAUGCCUGCAAUUGAAGCUUCUCAAUUGAAGAAAAAGCCUCCUCCUCUCGAAAAGGUCUCUUGGCAGUGGCUUCCUUUCGCUAGUUCUGCUCGUAAAGAUAAUCUUCACCUCUAUCAUUGGGUACGAGUUGUCAACGGU